UACGUAGGGGGCGAGCGUUACCCGGAUUCACUGGGCGUAAAGGGGGCGUAGGUGGCCGUGUAAGUCCGGUGUGAAAACUCACGGCUCAACCGUGGGACUGCGCUGGAAACUACACGGCUUGAGGACGGUAGAGGGAGACGGAACUGCUGGUGUAGGGGUGAAAUCCGUAGAUAUCAGCAGGAACGCCGGUGGAGAAGUCGGUCUCCUGGGCCGUUCCUGACGCUGAGGCCCGAAAGCUAGGGGAGCAAACCGG
This 253-nucleotide ribosomal RNA is filed under the name uncultured microorganism. RNAcentral describes it as "partial 16S ribosomal RNA". It matches the Rfam family "Bacterial small subunit ribosomal RNA", at positions 524 to 776 of the family's 1533-position model. The record is from RNAcentral.